This 207-nucleotide ribosomal RNA is filed under the name uncultured bacterium. Its description in RNAcentral is "partial 16S ribosomal RNA". It matches the Rfam family "Bacterial small subunit ribosomal RNA", at positions 568 to 774 of the family's 1533-position model. The record is from RNAcentral.
AGCGUAGGCGGGUGUUUAAGUUAGGUGUUUAAUCCCGGGGCCCAACCCCGGUCGUGCACCUAAAACUGGACAUUUUGAAUAGUGGAGAGGUCAGUGGAAUUGGGGGUGUAGCGGUGGAAUGCGUAGAGAUCCCCAAGAACACCAGUUGCGAAGGCGGCUGACUGGACACAUAUUGACGCUGAGGCUCGAAAGCAUGGGGAGCAAACA